RNAcentral lists this non-coding RNA (31 nucleotides) under Bombyx mori (domestic silkworm). RNAcentral also lists the same sequence under 1 other name. Lineage: Eukaryota; Metazoa; Arthropoda; Insecta; Lepidoptera; Bombycidae. The record is from RNAcentral.
GCGGGAGACCGGGGUUCGAUUCCCCGCCGGA